Molecule: ribosomal RNA, 460 nt
Filed under: uncultured bacterium
Lineage: Bacteria
Description: partial 16S ribosomal RNA
Rfam family: Bacterial small subunit ribosomal RNA
Source: RNAcentral
CCUACGGGUGGCAGCAGUGAGGAAUAUUGGUCAAUGGACGCAAGUCUGAACCAGCCAUGCCGCGUGCAGGAAGACGGCUCUAUGAGUUGUAAACUGCUUUUGUACGAGGGUAAACGCAGAUACGCGUAUCUGUCUGAAAGUAUCGUACGAAUAAGGAUCGGCUAACUCCGUGCCAGCAGCCGCGGUAAUACGGAGGAUUCAAGCGUUAUCCGGAUUUAUUGGGUGUAAAGGGUGCGUAGGCGGUCGGAUAAGUUAGAGGUGAAAUCCCGGGGCUCAACUUCGGAAUGGCCUCUGAUACUGUGCGGCUAGAGAGUAGUAGCGGUAGGCGGAAUGUAUGGUGUAGCGGUGAAAUGCUUAGAGAUCAUGCAGAACACCGAUGGCGAAGGCAGCUUACCAGGCUACUUCUGACGUUGAGGCACGAAAGCGUGGGGAGCAAACAGGAUUAGAUACCCCGGUAGUC